GAUGAACGCUGGCGGCGUGCUUAAUACAUGCAAGUCGAACGAAGAGCCUUUGUAGCAAUACGAGGGUUUCUUAGUGGCGAACGGGUGCGUAACGCGUUGGUGACCUGCCCCGAAGUGUGGGAUAACAGUUCGAAAGGACUGCUAAUACCGCAUGUGGUCAUUGGGUUCAGAAGCUAAUGACUAAAGCAGUAAUGCGCUUCGGGAGGGACCUGCGUCCCAUCAGCUAGUUGGUGAGGUAACGGCCCACCAAGGCUACGACGGGUAGGGGACCUGAGAGGGUGGUCCCCCACACUGGCACUGAAACACGGGCCAGACACCUACGGGUGGCUG
RNAcentral lists this ribosomal RNA (330 nucleotides) under uncultured Chloroflexota bacterium. RNAcentral describes it as "bacterial SSU rRNA". It matches the Rfam family "Bacterial small subunit ribosomal RNA", at positions 28 to 351 of the family's 1533-position model. The record is from RNAcentral. Lineage: Bacteria; Bacillati; Chloroflexota.